RNAcentral lists this ribosomal RNA (225 nucleotides) under uncultured Acinetobacter sp. RNAcentral's name for it is "partial 16S ribosomal RNA". It matches the Rfam family "Bacterial small subunit ribosomal RNA", at positions 568 to 792 of the family's 1533-position model. The record is from RNAcentral. Lineage: Bacteria; Pseudomonadati; Pseudomonadota; Gammaproteobacteria; Moraxellales; Moraxellaceae.
CGCGUAGGCGGAUGGUUAAGUCAAAUGUGAAAUCCCCGAGCUUAACUUGGGAAUUGCAUUCGAAACUGGUUGGCUAGAGUAUGGGAGAGGAUGGUAGAAUUCCAGGUGUAGCGGUGAAAUGCGUAGAGAUCUGGAGGAAUACCGAUGGCGAAGGCAGCCAUCUGGCCUAAUACUGACGCUGAGGUGCGAAAGCAUGGGGAGCAAACAGGAUUAGAUACCCGCGUA